RNAcentral lists this transfer RNA (73 nucleotides) under Cotesia glomerata. Its description in RNAcentral is "tRNA-Thr". It matches the Rfam family "tRNA". Rfam says of the family: Transfer RNA (tRNA) molecules are approximately 80 nucleotides in length. The record is from RNAcentral. Lineage: Eukaryota; Metazoa; Arthropoda; Insecta; Hymenoptera; Braconidae.
GUCUCGGAUAGCUUAACAGGUAGAGCCCUUGGCGCGUAACCGAGAGAUCUGGGUUCGAUUCCCAGUCUGGGCU